UUCAUUGCUUUUGAUGCUGAUUUCUGAUUGUUGUGUUUCGUAAAAAUGCUUCCUUUGACGAAAAAGGGAUGUGUGUUCUUAUUUGAUUGGAAAAAUUUCCCGUUGGAUGGGAGCUGUAUGGGUUCUUGAUUUAAGUAAAAGUAUGGGAAACAUGCUUGAUUUAGGUAUAAAUGGAUUUUGAAAAAAAUAACGGAGGAAGGAAUUAUCAAUGGAAGUGAUCUCGAUCUAUUUUGGUUGGAGACGCUGGGAUAAAAACGAGAUCUUUACUCUAUUUCUGUUCAUAAGUAAUUCCAUUUCCCUGCUAAGUUCUUGGGUGAACGGGUAUAUUGAACUUUUUUCGAUUUUUUUUCCACCUUAACUUUAGUUUUGUAUUGGAAUUGACACUGAAUAUCUUUCCAUGAGCAACCUGGAACUAUAUCCAUUUGGGGAGCAAAUCAGAGCAGUUUUCUGAAAAUAUAAGAGAAAGGAAGCAACAUAGAACUAUCCAUUUGUCUGAAAAAUUCAAAAAAAAAAAAAAACAGCAAGCUAGAAUGAUCCAUCUGUGGAAACAAAAUAAGCAUUGAAGCAUGUUUAUAUGAAAAUUUCUAGUUUUACAUGAAAAACUUCGCAUAUCAUUGCUUUCUCUGUGCAUAGCUGCUAGCAUUGUCAAUUUGAAAAAAUUGUGUGCAUUACAUUUACUGCAAUCAAGUUUUAGGUAAAGUGAAAGAAACAAACUACUUAUACACAUGCAAACAUCGGUAUCAAGGUGCUGAAAGUUCAAGGUUGGGGUCUUGAUUCUAUGUAAUGUAGCGGUCCGAGACUUGAUUAUAUGUUAUGUAUUACUUAACCACUUUAUUUCUCUUAUAUACAAAUUUAGUACUCUUUAUUUAAUUACAAACUGCUCUGGUUCUUGUCCUAUCGUAGCUAUCAGUAUAAAUGAUCGUUAAGUUAGUCUGUGCCUUUGUUUUGCCAAUAGCGACCUCGUUGGUUUUUCUCGCUCCUCAUCUAUUAAGUCCUGAAACGUAGACAACAAGCACACAUGCACAAGGAUGAAAGGAUUGAGGAAGAGUGACAAGCAAAAUAAAUAUUCACUUUAAGUCUCUAAGGAAAUAAUCAUUGGGAGGGUAAUAACGGACUUGAAUAAUAGUUGAAGUCUAAUGUGCAUGAGAUUGCAAACUGUUAUGAGCACUUUAAUGCAGUUGCUCUCAAGUAGCAGCCAGUAGAAUGGAAUGCAUAAACUCCAAAUGCUGACUCCUAUUUGUUUCAUUUUGUUAGCCUUUAAUCCUCUUUUGCCUAAUAAGGGAGAUUAUGUGCUUAUGCUGAAUUCCAUGUUACACUUUCUUACACCGGAUCUUCCUGAAAGGGUUGCAAUCACGUCUCUAAACUAGCCAUCCAAAAUUAGAAGGAACAUAGUAUCUGUACUUGCUGCUAUCUAUUAGUCAAACUAAGUCCAACUAGUGAAAUGAAGCACAUUAUGUAAAUGACGAUUCAGCGAAUCAAGGGAAAAGAAAUUUGAAGAACUUGUCUUGAUAAGCAUUAUUUUACCAGUAAAGUCUUGAUUCUACAUUUAAAUGGUGUCAAAGGUUCUCUGUUAGCAGAAAAUAUAUGAAUGGUAAGCUAAUUUUAACAUCUUUUUUAAUUUUUGAUUCUUUAAAUGUAAAAUUUUGUACUGUACUGGCUUAGAUUAAUUGGUCUCCUUACAUAUAUUUAUGGAGAUUUCAUUUGUGUUGUCAAGAAGAUAAGAAAGAUGUCAAAGAUUCAAUGGAGGAAAGCUUUGAAUAGCCUAGAGCAGACAUCAACUGCCCCACUAGGAACAUUUCAUUCUCCAGUAGUAGAUUGAAGCAAAAUUUGACCAAGGCUGAGAAAGAAGCAAAGAGAAUACGCAGGGUAUUAGCUAAUAGAGAGUCAGCUAGGUGGACAAUUCAUAAGCAGCAGGCCAUUCAUGAGGAGCUGACCAAAAAGGUUGCUGAUUUGUCAGUGGAAAAUAAGAAUAUAAAGAUGGUCGAAAGGUGGUGGCCCUGAUAUGCUGAAAAAGGAAAUUUAUGCAUUAUAUGGGUUCUCUCCUAUCCUUGUGAUGGGCUUAACUGAUCCAACCAUUUAACAAUUUUGUUUAAUAUGUGCGACGGAGGAGUUGGUCAUGAAAGAGUACGUUUGCUCGAAGGACACAAACAAACAACUAAAGGAGCAGAUCGCCAAGACAAUCGAGUGUGAGGUUGGAACAAGUGCAGAGACCAUGUCCAUGCAGGUGGAGAUAUCAUCUUCGUCGACUAAUCUCCCACCAAUGAUAUAUAGCAGACUGCCUUUGGUGCCAUAUGCCUGGCCUCUCUGGCCUUCCAUCUCUCCAAAUGCUAGACCUUGCCAUGAUCAUGAUGAUAGUCCUAGUAUGUUUAGUGGAUCAGUGUCACAAUUCUAUUUGCCACCCUCUGCUUGGUUUUAUCCUUUACUACAUGAGGUAUCUGGAUCCUGCUCUCAACAUUCUCGUUCAUUUACAGGAAGACAUGAAGAUCCUGUCAGCAUACGGCAUGCUUCAGGACAAUCUUACAGAGCACUGGACUGCAGUAAGGAAAUAAAUGUUUCUUCGCCACAAACAAUCGCCGCUGAGAAAGAGGAAAACACUGCUACAAGCAACCAAGGGUUGCUAGGAACAAUCCAAACAGAGCAUCAGAUGUUCAAGUCCUUGUCCAGAUAAACUAGUCCACAUCUUCUCGUGGUAGGAGUUCAGUUUCUCAGCAGAUGUUAAAGGGUGAAUCGGCGACAGGUCAAGACAAUGGAACUUCACUG
Molecule: non-coding RNA, 2760 nt
Organism: Phoenix dactylifera (date palm)
Lineage: Eukaryota; Viridiplantae; Streptophyta; Magnoliopsida; Arecales; Arecaceae
Source: RefSeq, a predicted model, not a curated record